Molecule: unclassified non-coding RNA, 89 nt
Filed under: Pseudomonas mediterranea
Lineage: Bacteria; Pseudomonadati; Pseudomonadota; Gammaproteobacteria; Pseudomonadales; Pseudomonadaceae
Source: RNAcentral
UGUGGGAGCGAGCCUGCUCGCGAAUGCGUUGUAUCAGCAGCAUAAGUAGUCGCUGAUACGCCGCCAUCGCGAGCAGGCUCGCUCCCACA